UGAUUGCACAGGUACCACAGCAAGCC
This 26-nucleotide non-coding RNA is filed under the name Homo sapiens (human). Lineage: Eukaryota; Metazoa; Chordata; Mammalia; Primates; Hominidae. The record is from RNAcentral.